AAGAUGAUGAUGCCCUUCUUAGGGAACUCCUCCCGGCUAUGUCGGGUGCACUCACUUCUCCUUGUGAACAGACCUAUUGCUUUGGUAGCAUUCCUACCGGUUGUUAGCCUACCUCUAGCCUACAAUAAAAUCCUUAUAAUAUUCUAUGAGAUGUCUGAAAAGAAGCAAAUUUAAAUAA
This 178-nucleotide unclassified non-coding RNA is filed under the name uncultured Ascomycota. RNAcentral describes it as "sequence contains ITS1". The record is from RNAcentral. Lineage: Eukaryota; Fungi; Ascomycota.